This 69-nucleotide transfer RNA is filed under the name Rattus norvegicus (Norway rat). It matches the Rfam family "tRNA". Rfam says of the family: Transfer RNA (tRNA) molecules are approximately 80 nucleotides in length. Their secondary structure includes four short double-helical elements and three loops (D, anti-codon, and T loops). Further hydrogen bonds mediate the characteristic L-shaped molecular structure. tRNAs have two regions of fundamental functional importance: the anti-codon, which is responsible for specific mRNA codon recognition, and the 3' end, to which the tRNAs corresponding amino acid is attached (by aminoacyl-tRNA synthetases). tRNAs cope with the degeneracy of the genetic code in two manners: having more than one tRNA (with a specific anti-codon) for a particular amino acid; and 'wobble' base-pairing, i.e. permitting non-standard base-pairing at the 3rd anti-codon position. The record is from Rfam by way of RNAcentral. Lineage: Eukaryota; Metazoa; Chordata; Mammalia; Rodentia; Muridae.
GGGGAUUUAGCUCAGUGGUAGAGUGUUUGCCUGGCAAGCUCAAGGCCCUGGGUUCGGUCCCCAGCUCCG